AACCAUUCUCACCUGCGGCUAGACCUGCGGAGGGAUCAUUAGUGAUUGGCCCUCUGGGUCUUUUACAUCCCACACACCUGUGCACCUCGGUUUCCACUGGGAGCCGUUGAAACGCUUUUUCAAACUUUUGCAUGUCUAGAACGUCUUAUGAAUCUUAAUACGAAACAACUUUUAGCAAUGGAUCU
This 185-nucleotide unclassified non-coding RNA is filed under the name soil metagenome. RNAcentral describes it as "partial contains 5.8S ribosomal RNA, internal transcribed spacer 2, and large subunit ribosomal RNA". The record is from RNAcentral.